GAUGAAGAACGUAGCGAAAUGCGAUAAGUAAUGUGAAUUGCAGAAUUCAGUGAAUCAUCGAAUCUUUGAACGCACAUUGCGCCCCUUGGUAUUCCGGGGGGCAUGCCUCUUCCAGCGUCAUUUCACCCCUCAAGCUCUGCUUGGUUUUGGGCCGCGCCGGCAACGGCGGGCCUCGAAAAUAGUGGCGACGCCAUCGUGCUCUCAGCGUAGUAAUUCUUCUCGCUAUGGAGUCCUGGUGGAUGCUUGCCAUCAACCCCCAAUUUUUCUAUGGUUGACCUCGGAUCAGGUAGGGAUACCCGCUGAACUUAAGCAUAUCAAUAAGCGGAGGA
This 329-nucleotide unclassified non-coding RNA is filed under the name soil metagenome. RNAcentral describes it as "partial contains 5.8S ribosomal RNA, internal transcribed spacer 2, and large subunit ribosomal RNA". The stretch from base 1 to 120 matches the Rfam family "5.8S ribosomal RNA", at positions 35 to 154 of the family's 154-position model. The record is from RNAcentral.